Molecule: unclassified non-coding RNA, 318 nt
Filed under: fungal sp.
Lineage: Eukaryota; Fungi
Description: partial internal transcribed spacer region
Rfam family: Eukaryotic small subunit ribosomal RNA (bases 1-46)
Source: RNAcentral
AAGUCGUAACAAGGUUUCCGUAGGUGAACCUGCGGAAGGAUCAUUAACACGUAUCCAACGUUAAACAACCCUGUGAACUUUCAACCCCGCCGGAAUGAGAUUAAUUUCCAACUCCGGCGAAGACAAGUGACCUGGCACCUGACCUCAUCAAAGCUCUGACAGCGUGCCUCUGGAUGCUUAAUGGAAGGGUGACGCAGUAACGAUCGCUGGAGGCCCACACGGCCGGCGACCGGGUCAGCGGCAUUCUUUAAUGCCCCUUAACACCACUUAACAUGACGACACUAAUACAACUGUUAACAAUGGAUAUCUUUGGUUCUC